Molecule: long non-coding RNA, 429 nt
Filed under: Vigna radiata
Lineage: Eukaryota; Viridiplantae; Streptophyta; Magnoliopsida; Fabales; Fabaceae
Description: long non-coding RNA (VRAD_LNC012672)
Source: RNAcentral
GAUAUUGAACCCUAGGAUAGAAAACUUAUUUAUAUCUGUUUGGGAAUUUUUCUGGUUGUUUUGCAGGUCAGGGUUUGGGUGCAUUGCAUUCUCCCUUCACACACACACACACACUUUUUGCAUAUCAUGAAUGGGGGGCCCUACACUCGGGCCUGAGUGCACCUUAGAAAUAGUGGGGUUGUGUAGCGGUGCCACUUGGGCCACACUGCCUGUUUGGCUAUCGUGAGAACCCCAGCUAGAGUCUGUUCUCUUCAUUUGUAUUUUCACACCUAGUUGAUUACUCGACUGUUGUGGAGAUGCUGUGGAGGGGGCCAUAGCUCUAGUGACCAUUGAUCCUUAGGCUUAGGGAACCAUCCUUGUGAGAUUACAUAUACUUGACCUUGAAUCUUAAGCGUCGAACCUCCAUAGGGGCACAAAGGGAGAUGUGUU